Molecule: ribosomal RNA, 467 nt
Filed under: uncultured Anaerolineaceae bacterium
Lineage: Bacteria; Bacillati; Chloroflexota; Anaerolineae; Anaerolineales; Anaerolineaceae
Description: bacterial SSU rRNA
Rfam family: Bacterial small subunit ribosomal RNA
Source: RNAcentral
UCAAAUGAAUUGACGGUCCCCGCACAAGCAGCGGAGCGUGUGGUUUAAUUCGAUGCUACACGAAGAACCUUACCUGGGUUUGACAUAGAGGUAGUAGGGAAGCGAAAGCGGACGACCCUUCGGGGAGCCUCUACAGGUGUUGCAUGGCUGUCGUCAGCUCGUGUCGUGAGAUGUUCGGUUAAGUCCGCUAACGAGCGCAACCCUCGCUGUGUGUUACAAGUGUCACACGGUACUGCCGAUAUUAAGUCGGAGGAAGGUGGGGAUGACGUCAAGUCAGCAUGACCUUUAUAUCCAGGGCUACACACACGCUACAAUGGCCAGUACAAUGGGUUGCCAAGCCGCGAGGCGGAGCCAAUCCUAAAAAGCUGGCCUCAGUUCAGAUUGCAGUCUGCAACUCGACUGCAUGAAGUUGGAGUUGCUAGUAACCGCAGGUCAGCAAUACUGCGGUGAAUACGUUCCCGGGGAUU